RNAcentral lists this ribosomal RNA (581 nucleotides) under uncultured bacterium. Its description in RNAcentral is "partial 16S ribosomal RNA". It matches the Rfam family "Bacterial small subunit ribosomal RNA", at positions 355 to 932 of the family's 1533-position model. The record is from RNAcentral.
UGGGGAAUUUUGGACAAUGGGCGAAAGCCUGAUCCAGCAAUGCCGCGUGUGUGAAGAAGGCCUUCGGGUUGUAAAGCACUUUUGUCCGGAAAGAAAUCCUUGGCUCUAAUACAGUCGGGGGAUGACGGUACCGGAAGAAUAAGCACCGGCUAACUACGUGCCAGCAGCCGCGGUAAUACGUAGGGUGCAAGCGUUAAUCGGAAUUACUGGGCGUAAAGCGUGCGCAGGCGGUUUGCUAAGACCGAUGUGAAAUCCCCGGGCUCAACCUGGGAACUGCAUUGGUGACUGGCAGGCUAGAGUAUGGCAGAGGGGGGUAGAAUUCCACGUGUAGCAGUGAAAUGCGUAGGGAUGUGGAGGAAUACCGAUGGCGAAGGCAGCCCCCGUGGGCCAAUACUGACGCUCAUGCACGAAAGCGUGGGGAGCAAAACAGGAUUAGAUACCCUGGUAGUCCACGCCCUAAACGAUGUCAACUAGUUGUUGGGGAUUCAUUUCCUUAGUAACGUAGCUAACGCGUGAAGUUGACCGCCUGGGGAGUACGGUCGCAAGAUUAAAACUCAAAUGAAUUGACGGGGUCAUAGCUG